This is a long non-coding RNA of Morone saxatilis (striped sea-bass), 121 nucleotides long. RefSeq lists it as uncharacterized. NCBI's taxonomy places the organism in Eukaryota, Metazoa, Chordata, Actinopteri, Moronidae. The transcript is spliced from 3 exons. The record is from RefSeq and is a predicted model, not a curated record.
CAACACCAACACCAACAGCAAAUUCAACACCUAUUGCUACAACACCUGUGAACACUACAACACCCACAAUGCCACCAACAAAUUCAACAACACCACCAUUACCACCACCAACAACAACAAC